ACGGAAGGCAGCAGUGGGGAAUAUUGCACAAUGGGGGAAACCCUGAUGCAGCGACGCCGCGUGAAGGAAGAAGUAUCUCGGUAUGUAAACUUCUAUCAGCAGGGAAGAUAGUGACGGUACCUGACUAGGAAGCCCCGGCUAACUACGUGCCAGCAGCCGCGGUAAUACGUAGGGGGCAAGCGUUAUCCGGAUUUACUGGGUGUAAAGGGAGCGUAGACGGUGUGGCAAGUCUGAUGUGAAAGGCAUGGGCUCAACCUGUGGACUGCAUUGGAAACUGCCAUACUUGAGUGCCGGAGGGGUAAGCGGAAUUCCUAGUGUAGCGGUGAAAUGCGUAGAUAUUAGGAGGAACACCAGUGGCGAAGGCGGCUUACUGGACGGUAACUGACGUUGAGGCUCGAAAGCGUGGGGAGCAAACAGGAUUAGAUACCCUGGUA
This 434-nucleotide ribosomal RNA is filed under the name uncultured Blautia sp. RNAcentral's name for it is "bacterial SSU rRNA". It matches the Rfam family "Bacterial small subunit ribosomal RNA", at positions 341 to 792 of the family's 1533-position model. Lineage: Bacteria; Bacillati; Bacillota; Clostridia; Lachnospirales; Lachnospiraceae. The record is from RNAcentral.